UGCAUGAUGAGGGAAUGGGAAGCAAGAAGGAAGGAAACCAGUCUUGAUAUAUGGAGGGGAUAAAGAAAAAUUCACAUCAACAUCUUGAACUCCACAGUUGACAGCGUAACAGAGAAAGACUUACAUCAAUUAAUUAAUUCUAACAGAAAAUGGAGAGAAGGGCAACCACAUUGUCAUGGAGAACACCACCUCCACCUGCCUCCCUGCAUCUGUCUUCUGGAACCAAGUGGGAAGAAUUAAACUCCUUGCUUUGUGAGAAAGUCCUUGUCUUCUCCUGGCAUGGAGGGAUAAAAGCACCUCCUUUCGAGCCUGGCAAACCUGGAGCUGUGAGCGCCUAGGGGAGAGGGUAUCUGAAAUGAGCGCCGAGAUUCCUUUACCUCCACUCCACCACCAGCCAGAGCAGAGAUAUCCAUGGAGAGAUGGAGCCAUUUCUUCACUCUACCGGGGCCAAAGGAUGUGGAGCCUCUGGGUGGAUUUUCUAGGUGUUUAAGAGAAGAGCCUUCAAUCUGGUCACUCUCUGUUCAGUUUGUUUAACUUAGAACCUUUAAGAAAUGAGCAAAAAAAAAGAAGGGGUAUGUGUAUAUGUUGGAGAAGGGAAUGGCAACCCACUCCAGUAUUCUUGCCUGGAGAAUUCCACGGACAGGGGAGCCUUGGGGGGCUAUAGUCCAUGGGGUUGCUGAGAGUCGGACACGACUGAGCAACUAACACACACACAUAUGUAUAUGUAUAAUGGAUUCAGUUCGUGGUACAGUAGAAACUUACACCACAUUGUAAAGCAGCUAUACUCCAAUUAAUUAAAAAAAAAGAGACGAGCCACCAGUAAGAAAAGGGCCCCAUGUUAAAUUCUGGACUUGGGUUUUUUCACGACUGGGCCCUCUGACAUCUCUGGGCACACCCACCAGCUCUGGCAGUUGUCUGGUGUCUGCCAGUACCCCUCAGUCAUCCUAGUUCCUAUAGGUAUCUUAACUGAUUGGUGCUUCAUUAGUACAUUUCUCUCUGGAUCUUAUAAACAUGUGAGUUUAUAAUCCCUAUUAAAGACACUGUAUGGUUCCCUUUCCCUCCCCCUUUAUUAAUAUUUGAUAUUGAUUUAAAAUAUAAA
This 1099-nucleotide long non-coding RNA is filed under the name Bos indicus x Bos taurus (hybrid cattle). RNAcentral describes it as "lncRNA (ENSBIXG00005018679.1)". Lineage: Eukaryota; Metazoa; Chordata; Mammalia; Artiodactyla; Bovidae. The record is from RNAcentral.